UGCAAGUCGAGCGCGAAAGGGGAGCAAUCCCCGAGUAGAGCGGCGAACGGGUGAGUAACGCGUGGGUGAUCUACCUUCGAGUGGGGAAUAACACCGGGAAACUGGUGCUAAUACAGCAUGACAUCCUCGGGUCGUACCGGGGAUCAAAGCCGGGGACCGAAAGGCCUGGCGCUUGAAGAGGAGCCCGCGUCCGAUUAGCUAGUUGGCGGGGUAAUGGCCCACCAAGGCUUCGAUCGGUAGCCGGCCUGAGAGGGCGGACGGCCACACUGGGACUGAGACACGGCCCAGACUCCUACGGGAGGCAGCAGUGGGGAAUUUUUCGCAAUGGGGGAAACCCUGACGAAGCAACGCCGCGUGGAGGAUGAAGGCCUUCGGGUCGUAAACUCCUGUCGACCGGGACGAAAGUAGUCUGACCCAAUACGUCGGGCUAUCGACUGUACCGGUAGAGGAAGCCACGGCUAACUCUGUGCCAGCAGCCGCGGUAAUACAGAGGUGGCAAGCGUUGUUCGGAAUUACUGGGCGUAAAGGGCGCGUAGGCGGUUCGUUA
Molecule: ribosomal RNA, 547 nt
Filed under: uncultured bacterium
Lineage: Bacteria
Description: bacterial SSU rRNA
Rfam family: Bacterial small subunit ribosomal RNA
Source: RNAcentral